UGUUAGACAACCCUAGUGAUCAGUUAGUCUCUAGUCUCCUGUUAGACAACCCUAGUGAUCAGUUAGUCUCUAGUCUCCUGUUAGACAACCCUAGUGAUCAGUUAGUCUCUAGUCUCCUGUUAGACAACCCUAGUGAUCAGUUAGUCUCUAGUCUCCUGUUAGACAACCCUAGUGAUCAGUUAGUCUCUAGUCUCCUGUUAGACAACCCUAGUGAUCAGUUAGUCUCUAGUCUCCUGUUAGACAACCCUAGAUCCCUGGGAGCGAGGCUACUGAUUUAGUAAACAGUGUGUGUUGGCUGUGUUGCUCCACACCAACCGCAGGGUUGGCAGGCAGAGUGGGUGUGUUGCUCCACACCAACCGCAGGGUUGGCAGGCAGAGUGGGUGUGUUGCUCCACACCAACCGCAGGGUUGGCAGGCAGAGUGGGUGUGUUGCUCCACACCAACCGCAGGGUUGGCAGGGCAGAGUGGGUGUGUUGCUCCACACCAACCGCAGGGUUGGCAGGGCAGAGUGGGUGUGUUUUAGGUUGGCAGGCAGAGUGGGUGUGUUUUAGGUUGGCAGGGCAGAGUGGGUGUAUUUUAGGUUGGCAGGGCAGAGUGGGUGUGUUUUAGGUUGGCAGGCAGAGUGGGUGUGUUUUAGGUUGGCAGGGCAGAGUGGGUGUAUUUUAGGUUGGCAGGGCAGAGUGGGUGUAUUUUAGGUUGGCAGGGCAGAGUGGGUGUGUUUUAGGUUGGCAGGCAGAGUGGGUGUGUUUUAGGUUGGCAGGGCAGAGUGGGUGUAUUUUAGGUUGGCAGGGCAGAGUGGGUGUAUUUUAGGUUGGCAGGGCAGAGUGGGUGUAUUUUAGGUUGGCAGGGCAGAGUGGGUGUAUUUUAGGUUGGCAGGGCAGAGUGGGUGUAUUUUAGGUUGGCAGGGCAGAGUGGGUGUAUUUUAGGUUGGCAGGGCAGAGUGGGUGUGUUGCUCCACACCAACGGCAGGGUUGGCAGGCAGAGUGGGUGUGUUUUAGGUUGGCAGGGCAGAGUGGGUGUGUUUUAGGUUGGCAGGGCAGAGUGGGUGUGUUUUAGGACCCUUCGGUGGUGGUGAUGACUGUGUGGCAGAGGACUGGCACUGUGAUGUCACACACUGAGGAAUACCACACUGAAACAGAUGAAAUGAUGGAGAGAGAGAGAGAGAGAGAGAGAGA
Molecule: long non-coding RNA, 1175 nt
Organism: Coregonus clupeaformis (lake whitefish)
Lineage: Eukaryota; Metazoa; Chordata; Actinopteri; Salmoniformes; Salmonidae
Exons: 2
Source: RefSeq, a predicted model, not a curated record